CUAGUUUGGUUCGGUGCGUGUCGGUCCGAAACAGGGCCUUGCUCCCUCGCUGCGGGCUGCGGUCGGAGGGGCUCGUGCGCCGCCGUGGCCGCCCCUCCCGUCGCUGUGGCCGGAGAGCUCGUGCUGCGGCCGGGGCCGCUGCCACCGCCAGGGGCUCGUGCACCUGCAUCUCCGGCGCCGCAUCCCAGCCAUCCUCUCCAGGUCAGCCAGUAUACUAGUAUCUGCUCGUCGACAUCGAGGUCGUGCCGGGGAUCAAAAGGUUCGUCUGCGGAGGAGCCAAGCUCGUCGACCACCGCGGUCAUCCUCACCACCAGCUACCACAGCAAGGUCCCUCAGUGGCUAAAGUGGUAUACUGGCUGCGAUCGACACCUUCUCUAAGCAUAUCAUAAUUGGGGCCUUCUACUUUGCGGGGUUUGGGUUGUUCUGUUUGGAGCUCUGCUAAGCAUUGCAGUUCUUCAGGUUUAAAAUAAAACCUUAUCCUCAGCAUUCAAAAUUCUCAUUCAUUGCAGUUCUGUUUUCAUUAUUGUUACAUGUUUUGGCCGUCUCUUCUGAAUCAUGUAAUACAGUGCUAAUGCUAAACAUUUGCUAUUGUUUGUGUUAUGGAUGCGGAGAGUGUACAUGUACUUCAGAGGGAACAAGUGAUGCCAGCCAUGAUUGAAAACAACAUUUGUCAAAAAAAAAAUGUUGCUUUGCUGUAGUCUCUUUGCUGCUUUCAUACAGCAGGAGCAAAACCUGAUGCAGAGAAUUCAUUUGGAUAGUUGCUCUGCUAACACUUCAGGGCACCCUAUUCUCCUCCGGUUUACAUCAUUGUUGGUUCCAGAAACUCCAAUGAAAAAAAUGAUAAAUUUGCAUUAUUCUUUUAUAGUUUA
Panicum virgatum (switchgrass) is the source of this 869-nucleotide long non-coding RNA. RefSeq lists it as uncharacterized. The record is from RefSeq and is a predicted model, not a curated record. NCBI's taxonomy places the organism in Eukaryota, Viridiplantae, Streptophyta, Magnoliopsida, Poales, Poaceae. The transcript has 4 exons.